Molecule: ribosomal RNA, 201 nt
Filed under: uncultured bacterium
Lineage: Bacteria
Description: partial 16S ribosomal RNA
Rfam family: Bacterial small subunit ribosomal RNA
Source: RNAcentral
ACGCUCGACACCUACGGGAGGCAGCAGGUGGGGAAUAUUGCACAAUGGGGGAAACCCUGAUGCAGCGACGCCGCGUGAGCGAAGAAGUAUCUCGGUAUGUAAAGCUCUAUCAGCAGGGAAGAAGAUGACGGUACCUGACUAAGAAGCACCGGCUAAAUACGUGCCAGCAGCUGCGGUAAUCUGAGGCGGGCUGGCGAAGGC